UGACACAUUUUUGUAUAUCUGAAUAAGAAACAUCUUUGAGUCUUGUCGUUUGCUUAUUGUAAGGAAAGGUUGUAGAUACUGCCUCCCGUUAAAAAUGCUGAACAUUAUACAUUGUUUUAUGGAUGUCUCCUUCUGAACUCACAUACAUGCUUCAGUCAACAAGGGACUUUAGCAUUUGCGAGAGGCACUAAUCGUUCAAAGUCAUGUUGCUCGUUAAUUUGACAUCAUGACUAUAGUUCUCGUAAUUAGGCUCGCGCUUGAGUUGGUAACUUGACAUUUUCCUAUCGUUUGUUCUAUGAUGAGUCCUGUACUGUCAAGCCCGUAAUCCGCCGUCAAAGGCUCGCCCACCAUGAGGCAGUAAACCUGCGUCCGCCGUCCCGGCCAUGUUUGACCCCGCGUCCAUGGCACGUGCGUGUACCUGUUAUGUAGGUUUGUCUUUUAAGCCAACAGACACUUCCCGGGGCUUCGAUGACGGUUGUCUUUACCGGUAAGAGUAUUUUUAAGGCUAACCCUUGAGGUGAUUUAGCUUAUGAUACAGUCGUUCGUGUUGCUAGGUACAAACAGGUGUACACUGGCUGGCGCCAGCCAGCAGUGACCUGGCAGCUCGUGGAAAACUUAAGGAGAAGGAGAAGACAAUGGUUGCACACUAAGACAAACGAGCGUAUACGGGCGAGAUUGUAGGAAGUGCCAUCGGUCAUUACUUUGCAGUCAUAGUUGACCAGGAGUACGCCAUUUUCCAUUUCAGUCGAGUCAUCGUCGCCAGUGUUAAUUUUUAUCUUAUCAAGCAAGGUGCUGUUGGCUUGGUCCUAAUUACCUACAGCGCGCUUAGGAAGAGAGCAACAGAAUAUGAUCCUGUGGUACACCGUUCCAGAAAAGUAAUCAGUGCCCGUUGUAAAAGUGUAUUUCCACUGUGGCCUUCCAUUAUGUUUGCACAAAAUGCUGUACGUGGUAAUGUCAGCGUACAGGGAAUAACAUCGAAAUUUGUGUCGAAUACUAGUUUCUAUAACCUCAAGAAACGGGAGAAAGCUAUAUUUCAGGGACCCUUGCGCUCUUGAUAUAUAUAUCAGUGAUGAUAUGAUAAAUAGUUGAACCCAAUCCUUUAAAUGGUGUUACCAACUUAUGAGCUGCAAAAAAUUGUUUUUUUUUUCUUAUGAAUUUUUAAGUUAAUUAACAUUAAAAAAAAAAGGCAAACAAAAAAAAAGCAGUUAUUAGCCUGAUCGUUAGUUGACACUGAUAAGGCUUUUUUGGUUUGCUUUUCUGUUUUGUUUAGGGGGGAAGUCCCCCCCCCUGACUUCUUCCUAAAUAGUGAUCCUUUAGCCUUACUGUUCAUUUUCUCAAUUCUUAAUUUUCGUUAACACUGCUGCAACGAGUGACAAAGAAAUUUAUGUUUUUAAAAUUUCCCGCCAUAUGUUUUUCUGCUAGCCCUUUCCCUCUUGAAGGCAAAAACAUGACGCAGCGCCCUCUGGAAAGGCUUAGGCAUGAGUAUUUCGUUUUGCUAGCGUAACCAGUGCUGUAGUUCGUUACUGGUAUAAGUGGUAGGUUGCUCAUCGAUUCAAUCGGACUGUGUUGUAGUGAACGUGUGCAACAAGUGCUCGACCUGUGCUCAUGUAAUAGCAUUUGGUGGAGCUGAGUUAUUACCUAAGCCUCAUAGCAGAGAGAUUUCGCGGCUUGUGAGCGAGCGAAGGCGAUCGAAAAUUAGCGGUCCAGGUUUUGCAUUCGCACUAGUCGUCCUGUGUCCUAACGAGUCAGCCAUUUCUAGGCCAGUCGACAACAUUCGGCUGCGGUGCUUGUGUACUGUAUGUCUGCGUGAAUUAGGGAUGCUGCGACAGGCGUCGUUAGAUUUCUACGUUCUGUGUCGUUAUUGAGCAUUCCCCGCCACGAAGGGGAAAUCUUCGUUAUCGUACCUGUUGUGUAUGGUGUGAUCGUACUAUAUUCGUGUGGUUUUUUCGUGUUCUUAACCGCAAUUUGAUACAACUGUUGGAGGUACUGUUAUUGCCAUUAUUCGCGCAGCAAAAGUAUUGAAAGCUGCCGUGGAAAUAGAAAUCAGAGUGGAAAAAGCUUGGCCGACUCACGCCGCCGAUCAUCAUGUCAUCAUACAGUAAUGUUCGCCGUAUUUACGUCGGCAAUCUGCCCUCGGACAUCCGUACCAAGGACAUUGAAGACAUUUUCUACAAGUACGGCAAGAUCACGUUGAUCGAUCUGAUGAACCGGCGUGGUCCACCGUUUGCCUUUGUCGAGUUUGAAGAUGCACGAGAUGCCGAGGACGCAGUUUCUGCUCGUGAUGGCUACGAUUAUGACGGGUACAAGCUGCGCGUGGAGUUUCCACGUGGGAAUUCAGCGCGACCUCGAGGAGGUCCUUCACGCGGCCGAGGACCACCUGCCCGCCGCAGCCAGUACAGAGUCAUCGUGUCAGUUUGUCGUGGCUCAUUCAGUGAUGAUUUGUGCCUGCAAAGAGGGACUGCCUUCGAUGCUCGGAGCUGUGCUAAGGGACUGCCAUGUCGAACAUACGCACAGGGGCCAUCUGAUGAUCAUCGAGGCUACCCCCAACCGGAUCGUGGCAGGAUCUUAAAGAUCACAUGCGUGAAGCGGGAGAUGUUUGCUACGCAGAUGUCUACAAAGACGGCACUGGAGUAGUCGAGUUCCUUCGUUACGAAGAUAUGAAGUACGCCGUGAAGAAGCUUGAUGAUAGCAGAUUCCGUUCGCAUGAAGGCGAGGUAUCAUACGUCCGUGUCCGUGAGGAUACCGGUCGUGAUUCGCGAUCCAGAUCACGCAGCCAUUCAC
Molecule: RNA transcript, 2781 nt
Organism: Varroa destructor (honeybee mite)
Lineage: Eukaryota; Metazoa; Arthropoda; Arachnida; Mesostigmata; Varroidae
Gene: SF2
Gene name: splicing factor 2
Source: RefSeq, a predicted model, not a curated record